GGCACGGUGUGCCUGGCCCGCUCCGUUCGGAUGUGAGUGCUGGGUGGCGCCUGCCAUCCGUCUAGAGCGCGGCUCUACCCCUCACGGGGCCGGGGCUUGCCAUCUAGACCUUUUACUUUGAAAAAAUUAGAGUGUUUCAAGCAGGCGUUCUGCUCUGAAUACAUUAGCAUGGAAUAAUCAACGGGACUUCGGUUCUAUUUGGUUGGUUUCUAGGGCUGAAGUA
Molecule: ribosomal RNA, 223 nt
Filed under: uncultured fungus
Lineage: Eukaryota; Fungi
Description: partial small subunit ribosomal RNA
Rfam family: Eukaryotic small subunit ribosomal RNA (bases 102-223)
Source: RNAcentral